Molecule: transfer RNA, 74 nt
Filed under: Empetrichthys latos latos
Lineage: Eukaryota; Metazoa; Chordata; Actinopteri; Cyprinodontiformes; Goodeidae
Description: tRNA-Leu
Rfam family: tRNA
About the family: Transfer RNA (tRNA) molecules are approximately 80 nucleotides in length. Their secondary structure includes four short double-helical elements and three loops (D, anti-codon, and T loops).
Source: RNAcentral
GUUAAGAUGGCAGAGCCCGGCCAAUGCAAAAGACCUAAACCCUUUGUACAGAAGUUCAAAUCCUCUUCUUAGCU